Molecule: non-coding RNA, 72 nt
Organism: Phrynosoma platyrhinos (Desert horned lizard)
Lineage: Eukaryota; Metazoa; Chordata; Lepidosauria; Squamata; Phrynosomatidae
Source: the annotation of a GenBank genome assembly
GCCAGCAUCGUGUAGUGGUUUGAAUGUUGGACUAUGACUCUGGAGACCUGGGUUCAGUUCCCAGCUCAGCCA